ACGCUCGACACCUACGGGAGCAGCAGUGGGGAAUAUUGCACAAUGGGGGAAACCCUGAUGCAGCGACGCCGCGUGGAGGAAGAAGGUCUUCGGAUUGUAAACUCCUGUUGUUGGGAAAAAGAGGAUGGUACCCAACAAGGAAGUGACGGCUAACUACGUGUCAGCAGCCGCGGUAAUCUGAGCGGGCUGGCAAGGC
Molecule: ribosomal RNA, 196 nt
Filed under: uncultured bacterium
Lineage: Bacteria
Description: partial 16S ribosomal RNA
Rfam family: Bacterial small subunit ribosomal RNA
Source: RNAcentral